Molecule: ribosomal RNA, 590 nt
Filed under: uncultured bacterium
Lineage: Bacteria
Description: bacterial SSU rRNA
Rfam family: Bacterial small subunit ribosomal RNA
Source: RNAcentral
ACGGGUGAGUAACACGUAGGUAACCUGCCUAUGAGACUGGGAUAACUAUCGGAAACGAUAGCUAAGACCGGAUAACUGGUUUUCUCGCAUGAGAGAAUCAUGAAACACGGAGCAAUCUGUGGCUUAUAGAUGGGCCUGCGGCGCAUUAGCUAGUUGGUAGGGUAAUGGCCUACCAAGGCGACGAUGCGUAGCCGACCUGAGAGGGUGACCGGCCACACUGGGACUGAGACACGGCCCAGACUCCUACGGGAGGCAGCAGUAGGGAAUCUUCCGCAAUGGACGCAAGUCUGACGGAGCAACGCCGCGUGAGUGAUGAAGGUUUUCGGAUCGUAAAGCUCUGUUGCCCUAGACGAACAGCAUGAGGAGUAACUGCCUUAUGUGUGACGGUAUAGGAGAAGAAAGCCCCGGCUAACUACGUGCCAGCAGCCGCGGUAAUACGUAGGGGGCAAGCGUUGUCCGGAAUUAUUGGGCGUAAAGCGCGCGCAGGCGGUCAAUUAAGUUGGGUGUUUAAGCCCGGGGCUCAACCCCGGUUCGCAUCCAAAACUGGUUGACUUGAGUGUAGGAGAGGAAAGUGGAAUUCCACGUGUAGC